This is a long non-coding RNA of Aegilops tauschii subsp. strangulata, 1562 nucleotides long. RefSeq lists it as uncharacterized. Lineage: Eukaryota; Viridiplantae; Streptophyta; Magnoliopsida; Poales; Poaceae. The record is from RefSeq and is a predicted model, not a curated record.
AUGAACAACAACCUCUAUGUUGUAGUCCUACCAUGUCGUGUGUUUCUGCUACAGUUCUUCGCUGUCGAGGAAAUCUUUGUGCGGCUCUUAUUAUUCUUGCUUUUCGUCCGGUAUCUUAUUCAAAAUGAAGUGGCCCUGUGAUGUUUCAGUAAGUUGGGGUAGCAAUCAAUCAUGUAUGUAUGCCUUGUUUCUCAUCAUCUGUCUGCUGGGUCCAGCCCUUGUUUGUCUUUGUCCUUUACAAGUUCGCAGCUCGCAUCCAACUUGUUAAAGCCACUCGAGCGUGUCAAUACUUCAUUAGAACAUAAAACAUGGUUAUUAUUGCUGUGGGGCAGUCAAGCAACCCGGGCCCCACACUCUUUCUGUGUUUCCCUUUUUAUUUUUGAUGGUUUUUUCUUUCUUUCUGUGCUUCUCGUUUGAGCAUUGACCUCACGGUCUUCUCCUGUAUACUACUUACUCCGUCUCAUAAUAUAAGAACGUUUUUGACACCCCUUCGUCUCAUAAUAUAAGAACGUUUUUACCAUCACACUAGUGUCAAAAAUAUUCUUAUAUUAUGGGACGGAGGGAGUACCAUUCUCAUAUCCACUAUUCUUUCCUUUCACACUUCACACUGCACCAGCCCCCUGGCAUAUUCUUGUCUCCUGAAAGUAUGUUGGGUUGUUCAGUUGUCCAUCACUCCUCAUGCUAUGGUUGAUCGGUACAAAAUGCUUAACUUACUGAAUGUAUUUCAUAAGUACUCCCUAGGUCUCAAAAUAAGUAUCUCAACUUUGUACUAACCUGUUACAUGUUUUUUUAAUACUGAAAAUUGUUACAAGUGGGUCUGGUAAUUGUAUUGGCACUGUAUCCUCUAUCAUGGAGUAAUUAUAGCCUGUUCGUUUAUCUAGGUUUCUUUUACUCCACCCACCGCAUCGAGACAAAACCACCAGAAAAUGGCCAGGAGGCGAUAGACGGGGAGAACUUCGGGUCUCGUCGACGUCGACGUCGACGGAAUCCCGAGCGAGCACGGGGACGUGGAAUCGCUGGUUGGUGCUGGGGCAUUGGGGCUUGCGCGACCUAGCGUACGCUAUCGGCGCCGCAGGGGUGGUACCCCACCCUGUGCAAUCGAGGUGCUCGACGAAAUGUCGAACCGAACCUUGACGCUCCAGGCUCAGCAGUGCACGCUCCACAGGUGAUCGACACAAUGCCUGAGUGGAGCAGCUGUCUCUGGAGUCGACUGCUCGGGCGUGCCCGGUAUGCUGCUGCGCUAGUACUAACCAUCUUUGAGCACUGCGAUCUCUUCCCGUGUCCAGGUACGCAUUGUAUUCCAAAUGAAGUACUCCCAUGAUGUGAUGCUUCUGCAAAUAUGGGUACCAAUCAUGUAUCUUCGGAUUCCUCAAAAAAAUCAUGUAUCUUUGGGUCCUCUUCUCAUCAUCGACCAGGUCCAGCUUUUGUUUGUACAAGGUUGCAGCUCGCACCCAACUCCUUAAAGCCACUUGAGCAUGUAGAUAAACGUGACCUGAUCAGCGGGCCCCAUGAUCUUUCUGUAUUUCCUUUUCUUCUUAAAUAAAAGUUUUCAUGCUGUGCUU